Molecule: unclassified non-coding RNA, 662 nt
Filed under: uncultured Prochlorococcus sp.
Lineage: Bacteria; Bacillati; Cyanobacteriota; Cyanophyceae; Synechococcales; Prochlorococcaceae
Description: partial may contain 16S ribosomal RNA, 16S-23S ribosomal RNA intergenic spacer, and 23S ribosomal RNA
Rfam family: tRNA (bases 298-370)
Source: RNAcentral
AGGAGGACGCCGAAGGUGGGGCUAAUGACUGGGGUGAAGUCGUAACAAGGUAGCCGUACCGGAAGGUGCGGCUGGAUCACCUCCUAACAGGGAGACAACAAAAUGUAAAUAUUAAUUUUGUCACCUUAGGUCGAUCGGUAUCUCAGAUUCUUAAUAUUUUAAGAAUUUCAGUUUCUAAGUUUUUUCUAGGUCACACCCAUCACUUUUUCCUGGGCCAUUAGCUCAGGUGGUUAGAGCGCACCCCUGAUAAGGGUGAGGUCCCUGGUUCAAGUCCAGGAUGGCCCAUAUCUCUAUGUUGGGGGUAUAGCUCAGUUGGUAGAGCGCCUGCUUUGCAAGCAGGAUGUCAGCGGUUCGAGUCCGCUUACCUCCACUGAAUACCACCUCUUGCAUAUUGUUAACGAGGGAAAUUGUUUUGAGUUGUGUCCUAUUCACUCUGAGCGAAUCUAGCUUCCUGUUUUUUUUUAAAUAAGAUGCUGGACUCAUUGAAACUUUUUCAUUGUUUUCAGAGAACCUUGACAACUGCAUAGAUUAUUUUUGAAGACAAUAAGCAUCUUUUGAUGCAGAUUUAUUAUUUUUGCUAAGGCAUUAAAUAACAAUUCUAUUAAGCUGAUGCUUCAAUUUUUGAAGUUAUUGGUCAAGCUACAAAGGGCUCACGGAGGAUA